ACGGACGCUGGCGGCGUGCUUCACACAUGCAAGUCGAGCGGUAAGGCCUUUCGGGGUACACGAGCGGCGAACGGGUGAGUAACACGUGGGUGAUCUGCCCUGCACUUCGGGAUAAGCCUGGGAAACUGGGUCUAAUACCGGAUAUGACCUCCUAUCGCAUGGUGGGUGGUGGAAAGAUUUAUCGGUGCAGGAUGGGCCCGCGGCCUAUCAGCUUGUUGGUGGGGUAAUGGCCUACCAAGGCGACGACGGGUAGCCGACCUGAGAGGGUGACCGGCCACACUGGGACUGAGACACGGCCCAGACUCCUACGGGAGGCAGCAGUGGGGAAUAUUGCACAAUGGGCGAAAGCCUGAUGCAGCGACGCCGCGUGAGGGAUGACGGCCUUCGGGUUGUAAACCUCUUUCAGCAGGGACGAAGCGCAAGUGACGGUACCUGCAGAAGAAGCACCGGCUAACUACGUG
RNAcentral lists this ribosomal RNA (461 nucleotides) under uncultured bacterium. RNAcentral's name for it is "partial 16S ribosomal RNA". It matches the Rfam family "Bacterial small subunit ribosomal RNA", at positions 29 to 507 of the family's 1533-position model. The record is from RNAcentral.